AUAUAAUUAAAGUAAAAAUAGGAGAGCCAAACUCUGUUAGAAAAGACCUAUAAUAAGUAUGUUUAAAUAGAGUUGCACUAAUUUAUCGUUUUCUUUGAAACUAAUAGCUUUCCUGAUGACAUGUUAACAUGGUGAUUGUGGAAUGGUUGUAGAAAUGUUGAUGGUUUAGUUGAUAAUAGUGGGCUUGAAUGAUAUCCAAAUUGUUGGUAAGUUGGUGGUCAUUGCCAUGAUGGUGAUUGUGGCAAUGUUAUGGUGGUGAUGUUUGAAGUGUUGGAUAUUGCGUUAAUCAAGUUAAGUGAGAGUAAUAAUGGUGAGCUUAUUGGUCACAGCAGCAG
Molecule: unclassified non-coding RNA, 335 nt
Filed under: Hevea brasiliensis (rubber tree)
Lineage: Eukaryota; Viridiplantae; Streptophyta; Magnoliopsida; Malpighiales; Euphorbiaceae
Source: RNAcentral